RNAcentral lists this ribosomal RNA (222 nucleotides) under Escherichia coli 2-011-08_S4_C1. RNAcentral describes it as "partial 23S ribosomal RNA". It matches the Rfam family "Bacterial small subunit ribosomal RNA", at positions 172 to 396 of the family's 1533-position model. The record is from RNAcentral. Lineage: Bacteria; Pseudomonadati; Pseudomonadota; Gammaproteobacteria; Enterobacterales; Enterobacteriaceae.
CAUAACGUCGCAAGACCAAAGAGGGGGACCUUCGGGCCUCUUGCCAUCGGAUGUGCCCAGAUGGGAUUAGCUAGUAGGUGGGGUAACGGCUCACCUAGGCGACGAUCCCUAGCUGGUCUGAGAGGAUGACCAGCCACACUGGAACUGAGACACGGUCCAGACUCCUACGGGAGGCAGCAGUGGGGAAUAUUGCACAAUGGGCGCAAGCCUGAUGCAGCCAUG